Molecule: ribosomal RNA, 253 nt
Filed under: uncultured bacterium
Lineage: Bacteria
Description: partial 16S ribosomal RNA
Rfam family: Bacterial small subunit ribosomal RNA
Source: RNAcentral
UACGUAGGGUGCAAGCGUUGUCCGGAAUUAUUGGGCGUAAAGAGCUUGUAGGCGGUCCGGUAAGUCCGCUGUGAAAGUCGGGGGCUCAACCCUCGGAUGCCGGUGGAUACUGUCGGGCUUGAGUACGGAAGAGGCGAGUGGAAUUCCUGGUGUAGCGGUGAAAUGCGCAGAUAUCAGGAGGAACACCAAUUGCGAAGGCAGCUCGCUGGGACGUUACUGACGCUGAGACGCGAAAGCGUGGGGAGCAAACAGG